AUUGAACGCUGGCGGCAGGCUUAACACGUGCAAGUCGAGCGGGGUGAUGGUGCUUGCACUAUCACUUAGCGGCGGACGGGUGAGUAAUGCUUAGGAAUCUGCCUAUUAGUGGGGGACAACAUUUCGAAAGGAAUGCUAAUACCGCAUACGUCCUACGGGAGAAAGCAGGGGAUCUUCGGACCUUGCGCUAAUAGAUGAGCCUAAGUCGGAUUAGCUAGUUGGUGGGGUAAAGGCCUACCAAGGCGACGAUCUGUAGCGGGUCUGAGAGGAUGAUCCGCCACACUGGGACUGAGACACGGACCAGACUCCUACGGGAGGCAGCAGUGGGGAAUAGUGGACAAUGGGCGGAAGCCUGAUCCAGCCAUGCCGCGUGUGUGAAGAAGGCCUUAUGGUUGUAAAGCACUUUAAGCGAGGAGGAGGCUACUUUAGUUAAUACCUAGAGAUAGUGGACGUUACUCGCAGAAUAAGCACCGGCUAACUCUGUGCCAGCCGCCGCGGUAA
This 501-nucleotide ribosomal RNA is filed under the name uncultured bacterium. RNAcentral's name for it is "partial 16S ribosomal RNA". It matches the Rfam family "Bacterial small subunit ribosomal RNA", at positions 30 to 523 of the family's 1533-position model. The record is from RNAcentral.